This 375-nucleotide ribosomal RNA is filed under the name uncultured microorganism. RNAcentral describes it as "bacterial SSU rRNA". It matches the Rfam family "Bacterial small subunit ribosomal RNA", at positions 9 to 387 of the family's 1533-position model. The record is from RNAcentral.
GAGUUUGAUCGUGGCUCAGGACGAACGCUGGCGGCGUGCCUAAUACAUGCAAGUCGAGCGAGGGUUUUCGGACCCUAGCGGCGGACGGGUGAGUAACACGUAGGCAACCUGCCUCUCAGACCGGGAUAACAUAGGGAAACUUAUGCUAAUACCGGAUAGGUUUUUGGAUUGCAUGAUCCGAAAAGAAAAAGAUGGCUUUCGGCUAUCACUGGGAGAUGGGCCUGCGGCGCAUUAGCUAGUUGGUGGGUAACGGCUACCAAGGCGACGAUGCGUAGCCGACCUGAGAGGGUGACCGGCCACACUGGGACUGAGACACGGCCAGACUCCUACGGAGGCAGCAGUAGGGAAUUUUCCACAAAUGGACGAAAGUCUGAU